ACGCUAUACGCUGCGUCCAAUCAGAAAACUCAUUUAGUACGUUAUAAGGAGACACUCGCUGGAUUGGUGUUUAAAUGAACGAGGAUUCUUACACGAAUGCAUCAAAGUAGAACUCUCGGGUAUCAACAACUCUAUCUAGAUUAUGUUUCGUCUGUUUUCUUCGACUUCGCAACGUUCGUGUUUCGAAAAUUUUUAUAAAUUUUAAGUUGAAAAUCUUGAUUACGUGCGCGCGUGCGCGUGAUGCUAUUACGAGCAAUGGAUUUUUUUCAACUGGAUUUUCGGAUUUUAUUAACACUGGGAUAUAUAUGGCUUCUGCUGCUCUAUGAAAACGACGCUUUUGAGUGCUUUACGUGUAAAGCAAAUUCGUCAGAAGAAUGUCAACUGGAAGGCAAACCACAAUUUUGUGACAAAGGAACUAAUAGAUGUUUUACAGAGACCCGUUACCAUGGCGGCACGUACAAAAUUAAAAAGAUAGUAAAAAAUUGCAUUCUCGAACCUUCCUGUUACCGAAAGAAUAGAAAAGAACAAACCAAUUGCGAACAGAAGGAAAAGGAUUUCGAUUGCUUUGAAUGCUGUGACAAAGAACUUUGUAACAAAGAUGCUGGAACGGCGCAACUAUUGUCCAGUCAUAUCAUCACGCUGGCCAUGCUAUUUUUCGCUAUUCUCUUUCCUUUACAUGUAGUGCGGUGAACUCAGGAAUCGAAUCAAACAACAUUUAUACACUUAGGCCUAUUAUUGUUUUAAACGUUUCCUAGAGAGACAAUCUACAUUGUUUCGGACGUCGAAUGAUUCGACCAUGUAUCUACAGGCGAUUUCAUCAAAAGAAUAAUAUUGAUCGCUAUAAAUGCAAAUAAUUUAAUUCAUACUUUUUGAUUUCGCAAUACGUUUGGUCAUGUACCUUCCGUUGAAUACAAUCUGGCAAGACGACGUGCCAAGUUCGAGAUCACGUAGAGAAGCGCAGGCGCAUACUCAUGCAUGUCUUUAUAAGGGAAAAGUUGUCAUUUGCUCCCAUUAUGACAGAGCAAUAGAAACGCAAUGAACUGAAAUGAAUGGCGAGCGCUUCAAUCUAAGUUGUAAAUAUACAAAUAUGUAUCCCUUUGUUUAAAAGUUUAUGAUGUCUUUUCUCAUUUAGGUGCACCGUUUGACAUUUUCAAUCAUUGUAUAAACAGUGAUAAACCACAAAUAAAAUAUAAAAUAGAAAUGCUGUUUCGAGUGCCAUUAGGCCUAUGCAAAUUAUAAUGUAUUCGAUGUGAAUAUAUUUAAGAUAAGUUUCCAUAAAAUAAUAUUGUAUGCUUUGAAAUGUCUAACUUAUUAGCGAGUGUCUAUCUAAAAAUUAAUGUACGAUAAUCCAUAAGAAAGUUCCUCUAAAAAAAACCCUAUAAAUUCCACACUAGUAUUAUAUUAUUUUGAUCUAUCACUGAUCAAAUAUUAUAUCGUGGCCAAAAGGCAAAUUUCAUGUCAUUUACAAUAGAAUUAUAUCCUCCUUUAGGACUACUUUAUAUAAGGCCUAUUGACUAUUUUAUAUAAGGCCUAUUGACUAUUUUAUAUAAGGCCUAUUGACUACUUUAUAUAAGGCCUAUUUGAUUUUCUGAUUUGUUUCAUUCUCAUUGAGUAACUUGCCGCAAUACCACUUCGGCACGUAUUUCAAAUCUAGGUCUAGUUCUGUGAUGGUCUAUAUACUCACAAUGCUCUGUCCUUCAACUUAUGUUAAAGUGUUCUAAGACAGGUAUCUGUGAAAUUCUCUUGUACUUCAUUAAACGCAUCAGGUUAAGUCAUAGCCAGCUAACUACACUUAGUAACGUUACAGUUUGGUGUUCAAAACGUUAUGUUGUAGAAGUCCAAAUACGUAUUUAUAACGUAAUUUCAGACCUCCCAAGUUCCCAGAAAUUUGUGGGUUUCCCAGAUUUUUAAGGAUCAAAUCGCUGCUUCCCAGAAUUUUUACAGUUAUCCCAGAAAAUAUAAAAUUCUCAUUGUGAAUAUUAAAAUGGCUCCUAUGUGUAUAUUUUAAAAAAUCAAACAACAGUUUUUUUUUUAAUAUUUUGUUACUUAACUAUUUAAACAACUCUAUGCCUUUGCAUCACCAUCUAAGUUUAAUAAAACCUGAAAAUGACUUAUUUUGCUUAUUGUUUCCCACUUACAAAAACCACUGUUUCUGUUUAAUAUGUGUAUGGCUUUUGGUAACGGCAUGAAACACGUUGAAUUAACAUAAAUCAUAUGUUAAUCAAUAAACCAAAAACAGUACCCAGAAAUUACACUAAACGACAAAUUACCCAGAAAUUUCACUCCACCAAUUUGGGACCUUCGUAAUUUCCAACUAAAUAACGUUGUUAACGCUACUGCAACGUUGUGCUAACGUCAUUUUUUUACAAACAACCUGACUCUCACAACGUUCGCGAACGUUACGGUAUGUAAUAACGUUUUGUGUUCGUCACAUAAAACUUAAGCCUGGUUUAAAAGUCGCUACACGUCACUACAGUGUUUCCACUGCUGCGUCGCUACCACUAAUCUCUACUAUAAUAGGUGGAUUGCUCAUUGGCUGGUUUUAGUGAGGCGACCGACACCAUGUUGGGGGACCUAAGUGUUAGACAAGUUUCUUUUGGCAUUUAUUUAAAUUAUUGUUAAAAAUAACGAUUCUUGCAAUAAUAAAUUUGAAUUUAACGUAAUGAUUAUUAUCAUCUAUCUACUUGAUGUGACUUUUUAUGCAGUCAAGUUAUUUGCGUUGUUAGGAUCGACGUCACUAUAACAACGCGACUUCGCUCGUGCUUUUGAAAACUGCAUAAAAAAUCCUACGUUAAAUUUAAAUUUAUUAUUGAAAGUGUUAGGCACUUAGGCCCUCCAACAUGGCGUCGGAGCCUCACCUUUUUUUUCUGUAUCAGGAUUGGCCGAUGGACAAUCCAGCUAUUAUAGUAGAGGUCAGUGGUCGCUACACAUUUUGUAACUGAUCCCCGACGCAAUUGGGAUGGCUCCCCGAUUCCAGCUCCACCGUCAGUUGUCAGUGAGUGUAGCGAUUGCAUGGAAACCAGGCUUUAACUGUGUGAACAGAGCAUUAAAGCCUGUUUACACUAUGAUGAUAACGAUCAACGAUAGAAAGAAAAAAGCAAUUGUUCAUAUAUAUAGAAAAUAAAAGAAAUAAGAGAAGUUUUCACACUAGUAAGAUUCGAUAACGAUUUAUCGUGUAUACAAAAACAAUUAUUUGACAAAUCAAAUCAAAUGACGUCAUAAUCAUGGGAAAACGAUAAAUUCAUAGUUGUAAAAACGAUUUUAUCAUUUUCCCAUGAUUAUGACCUCAUUUGAUUUGAUUUGUGAAAUUAUUUUUAGAGUGAAGUUAUUUUUAGUCCGGAGGCUGAUAUUUGCUGAUAGUUAUCAACCAAAAUAUCAUAGGCCGACGUUUUGGUUGUAAAAUUAGCAUAUACUGUACCAUUAAUCUCAGCUCUACUUAAUUACAUUGUACAUAAUAAUAUUGACAUACGAAGAUACAAGGCACAAUUAAUGAGGUCAAUAGAAACAAUUAAAUAAUAAAUCAAUUAUUCCGAAAUGAUGCACUUUUGGAGAGAUCAUAUGAAGACAAUUAAUUACUACGUAAGAAACAUUUAUUAAUAUUUAAAGUUUCUCUCAGGUCUCAUUAUACAUAGCAUGCAGACGGUCAGAGUGUAGGAUAGGUCUAAGUUAUCUUAAUCGAUCAAAAUAAGGUUUUAAGUAGGUCAUACGGUACGAUGUACAUUAUUAUGCGCUCGGUUUCACCAAAGCGCAAUAUUUCAAACUGGUUUUACGUUACAAACUGUCUCACCAGCAGUAUAGAUUUUUCUCAGCUAAUUAAAUCUCGUUCUGUUAGAAUGUAUUUGUAUGUAUA
Molecule: RNA transcript, 3850 nt
Organism: Anneissia japonica
Lineage: Eukaryota; Metazoa; Echinodermata; Crinoidea; Comatulida; Comatulidae
Exons: 3
Source: RefSeq, a predicted model, not a curated record